CCUACGGGAGGCUGCAGUGAGGAAUAUUGGUCAAUGGCCGAGAGUCUGAACCAGCCAAGUAGCGUGAAGGAUGACUGCCCUAUGCGUUGUAAACUUCUUUUAUAAAGGAAUAAAACGAGGCACGUGUGCCUUUUUGCAUGUACUUUAUGAAUAAGGAUCGGCUAACUCCGUGCCAGCAGCCGCGGUAAUACGGAGGAUCCGAGCGUUAUCCGGAUUUAUUGGGUUUAAAGGGAGCGUAGAUGGGUUGUUAAGUCAGGUGUGAAAGUGUGCGGCUCAACCGUAAAAUUGCCAUUGAUACUGGGAGUCUUGAGUACAGUUGAGGUAGGCGGAAUGCGUGGUGUAGCGGUGAAAUGCUUAGAUAUCACGAAGAACCCCGAUUGCGAAGGCAGCUUACUGAACUGUGACUGACAUUGAUGCUCGAAAGUGUGGGUAUCAAACAGGAUUAGAUACCCUUGUAGUC
Molecule: ribosomal RNA, 460 nt
Filed under: uncultured bacterium
Lineage: Bacteria
Description: partial 16S ribosomal RNA
Rfam family: Bacterial small subunit ribosomal RNA
Source: RNAcentral